This 75-nucleotide transfer RNA is filed under the name Streptomyces sp. CB02056. It matches the Rfam family "tRNA". From Rfam's summary of the family: Transfer RNA (tRNA) molecules are approximately 80 nucleotides in length. Their secondary structure includes four short double-helical elements and three loops (D, anti-codon, and T loops). Lineage: Bacteria; Bacillati; Actinomycetota; Actinomycetes; Kitasatosporales; Streptomycetaceae. The record is from Rfam by way of RNAcentral.
GCGCCUGUACUCCAGCUGGCAAGAGAGAUGCGGCUUAGAACCGCAGUGUCGUGGGUUCGAGUCCCACCGGGCGCA